Molecule: ribosomal RNA, 253 nt
Filed under: uncultured bacterium
Lineage: Bacteria
Description: partial 16S ribosomal RNA
Rfam family: Bacterial small subunit ribosomal RNA
Source: RNAcentral
UACGUAGGGUGCAAGCGUUAAUCGGAAUUACUGGGCGUAAAGCGUGCGCAGGCGGUUAUGUAAGACAGGUGUGAAAUGCCCGGGCUUAACCUGGGAACUGCAUUUGUGACUGGCAAGCUAGAGUAUGGCAGAGGGGGGUAGAAUUCCACGUGUAGCAGUGAAAUGCGUAGAGAUGUGGAGGAAUACCGAUGGCGAAGGCAGCCCCCUGGGCCAAUACUGACGCUCAUGCACGAAAGCGUGGGGAGCAAACAGG